GGUUAAGCGACUAAGCGUACACGGUGGAUGCCCUGGCAGUCAGAGGCGAUGAAGGACGUGCUAAUCUGCGAUAAGCGCCGGUAAGGUGAUAUGAACCGUUAUAACCGGCGAUUUCCGAAUGGGGAAACCCAGUGUGAUUCGUCACACUAUCAUUAACUGAAUCCAUAGGUUAAUGAGGCGAACCGGGGGAACUGAAACAUCUAAGUACCCCGAGGAAAAGAAAUCAACCGAGAUUCCCCCAGUAGCGGCGAGCGAACGGGGAGGAGCCCAGAGCCUGAAUCAGCAUGUGUGUUAGUGGAAGCGUCUGGAAAGGCGCGCGAUACAGGGUGACAGCCCCGUACACAAAAGCGCAUGUGCUGUGAGCUCGAUGAGUAGGGCGGGACACGUGGUAUCCUGUCUGAAUAUGGGGGGACCAUCCUCCAAGGCUAAAUACUCCUGACUGACCGAUAGUGAACCAGUACCGUGAGGGAAAGGCGAAAAGAACCCCGGCGAGGGGAGUGAAAAAGAACCUGAAACCGUGUACGUACAAGCAGUGGGAGCACAGGUUUACCUGUGUGACUGCGUACCUUUUGUAUAAUGGGUCAGCGACUUAUAUUCUGUAGCAAGGUUAACCGUAUAGGGGAGCCGUAGGGAAACCGAGUCUUAACCGGGCGUUAAGUUGCAGGGUAUAGACCCGAAACCCGGUGAUCUAGCCAUGGGCAGGUUGAAGGUUGGGUAACACUAACUGGAGGACCGAACCGACUAAUGUUGAAAAAUUAGCGGAUGACCUGUGGCUGGGGGUGAAAGGCCAAUCAAACCGGGAGAUAGCUGGUUCUCCCCGAAAGCUAUUUAGGUAGCGCCUCGUGAAUUCAUCUCCGGGGGUAGAGCACUGUUUCGGCUAGGGGGCCAUCCCGGCUUACCAACCCGAUGCAAACUGCGAAUACCGGAGAAUGUUAUCACGGGAGACACACGGCGGGUGCUAACGUCCGUCGUGAAGAGGGAAACAACCCAGACCGCCAGCUAAGGUCCCAAAGUCAUGGUUAAGUGGGAAACGAUGUGGGAAGGCCCAGACAGCCAGGAUGUUGGCUUAGAAGCAGCCAUCAUUUAAAGAAAGCGUAAUAGCUCACUGGUCGAGUCGGCCUGCGCGGAAGAUGUAACGGGGCUAAACCAUGCACCGAAGCUGCGGCAGCGACGCUUAUGCGUUGUUGGGUAGGGGAGCGUUCUGUAAGCCUGCGAAGGUGGCCUGUGAGGGUUGCUGGAGGUAUCAGAAGUGCGAAUGCUGACAUAAGUAACGAUAAAGCGGGUGAAAAGCCCGCUCGCCGGAAGACCAAGGGUUCCUGUCCAACGUUAAUCGGGGCAGGGUGAGUCGACCCCUAAGGCGAGGCCGAAAGGCGUAGUCGAUGGGAAACGGGUUAAUAUUCCCGUACUUGGUGUUACUGCGAAGGGGGGACGGAGAAGGCUAUGUUGGCCGGGCGACGGUUGUCCCGGUUUAAGCGUGUAGGUGUGUGUUCCAGGUAAAUCCGGUUCACUUUAACACUGAGGCGUGACGACGAGGCACUACGGUGCUGAAGCAACAAAUGCCCUGCUUCCAGGAAAAGCCUCUAAGCAUCAGGUAACAUCAAAUCGUACCCCAAACCGACACAGGUGGUCAGGUAGAGAAUACCAAGGCGCUUGAGAGAACUCGGGUGAAGGAACUAGGCAAAAUGGUGCCGUAACUUCGGGAGAAGGCACGCUGACACGUAGGUGAAGUGAUUUACUCAUGGAGCUGAAGUCAGUCGAAGAUACCAGCUGGCUGCAACUGUUUAUUAAAAACACAGCACUGUGCAAACACGAAAGUGGACGUAUACGGUGUGACGCCUGCCCGGUGCCGGAAGGUUAAUUGAUGGGGUCAGCGCAAGCGAAGCUCCUGAUCGAAGCCCCGGUAAACGGCGGCCGUAACUAUAACGGUCCUAAGGUAGCGAAAUUCCUUGUCGGGUAAGUUCCGACCUGCACGAAUGGCGUAAUGAUGGCCAGGCUGUCUCCACCCGAGACUCAGUGAAAUUGAACUCGCUGUGAAGAUGCAGUGUACCCGCGGCAAGACGGAAAGACCCCGUGAACCUUUACUAUAGCUUGACACUGAACAUUGAGCCUUGAUGUGUAGGAUAGGUGGGAGGCUUUGAAGCGUGGACGCCAGUCUGCGUGGAGCCGACCUUGAAAUACCACCCUUUAAUGUUUGAUGUUCUAACGUGGACCCGUAAUCCGGGUUGCGGACAGUGUCUGGUGGGUAGUUUGACUGGGGCGGUCUCCUCCUAAAGAGUAACGGAGGAGCACGAAGGUUGGCUAAUCCUGGUCGGACAUCAGGAGGUUAGUGCAAUGGCAUAAGCCAGCUUGACUGCGAGCGUGACGGCGCGAGCAGGUGCGAAAGCAGGUCAUAGUGAUCCGGUGGUUCUGAAUGGAAGGGCCAUCGCUCAACGGAUAAAAGGUACUCCGGGGAUAACAGGCUGAUACCGCCCAAGAGUUCAUAUCGACGGCGGUGUUUGGCACCUCGAUGUCGGCUCAUCACAUCCUGGGGCUGAAGUAGGUCCCAAGGGUAUGGCUGUUCGCCAUUUAAAGUGGUACGCGAGCUGGGUUUAGAACGUCGUGAGACAGUUCGGUCCCUAUCUGCCGUGGGCGCUGGAGAACUGAGGGGGGCUGCUCCUAGUACGAGAGGACCGGAGUGGACGCAUCACUGGUGUUCGGGUUGUCAUGCCAAUGGCACUGCCCGGUAGCUAAAUGCGGAAGAGAUAAGUGCUGAAAGCAUCUAAGCACGAAACUUGCCCCGAGAUGAGUUCUCCCUGAGACUUAGAGUCUCCUGAAGGAACGUUGAAGACGACGACGUUGAUAGGCCGGGUGUGUAAGCGCAGCGAUGCGUUGAGCUAACCGGUACUAAUGAACCGUGAGGCUUAACCUU
This 2908-nucleotide ribosomal RNA is filed under the name Salmonella enterica subsp. enterica serovar Heidelberg. RNAcentral describes it as "23S ribosomal RNA". It matches the Rfam family "Bacterial large subunit ribosomal RNA". The record is from RNAcentral. RNAcentral also lists the same sequence under 2 other names. Lineage: Bacteria; Pseudomonadati; Pseudomonadota; Gammaproteobacteria; Enterobacterales; Enterobacteriaceae.